GGAUGGGGCCCGACGCGUCACGCCCCCAGCGCCCGCAGACAAGCAGGCUAGGGGAACCCGACGUCCCUCAGGCCACGUCGUGGGCCCCUCAGCCUGGCCUGAAGCGUACGAUGCUUUUCCUCAAUCCGGAGUCCUCAAUCCGGUGUCCUAGUCUCUAGAGGCAAGAGCAUCCAUCCCUCCUUCGAGAUGAGGCCCGGCCUCCUCUUGAUUAGUAUGCAGCAGCCCCAUCCCUCACCCCAAUCCAGUAUCACUUCCCAUGAACCUUUCUGGGACAACCAGGACAGGCACUAGCAACACCAGAGAGCUGCCUCUUAGCAUCUUCCAUUGCCUCCCACUAGGGCCCCUCAAGCCCUCCAUAACUCAUCCCUCACCAAUGGCCUGCCUAAACCCCACUUGUCUUUUGGGACUUAGUUCAAUGCCUCUGUUGCCAGGAAGCCUUCCCCAUGACCUUCUGGAUACCUGGAAUGGCCAGCGGCCCUUUCUCAGAUCUCAGCGCCUCUUCACCUGAGUCCUGUCUGGACUAAGAACUCUUGAGAGCAAGGGUCGUGCUGAAUUUGCCCAGCACAGCCUGACUUCCUGAUGCGUGCCUGGCAUGUAUUUGUUGAAUGAAUAGUUGGGCCCAGUAACUGGAAGAUUGGAUCUAUAAGGCUGGAGUUCAGGAAAGAGCUGGGCUACAGAGAUUUUUCCCCCCAGUUUUGAAGAUUGAAUCCAGGGCUCCUUGCAUUCUAAGCAAGGAUGCUACCACUGAGCUAUAUCCCAAUAUUGAAGAGAUGGUUUUGAGAGUCCUUGGGGAGCCACAGUCAUAAGUAGAGUCGUGGAAAGGCUCAAACAGAUCAACCGAAGCAAGGCUGAGAGGAUCAGCUCAAGAUCUAGGCAACAACAACAACAACAACAAAUCCUACAUAGAAACCUUGAAAAACAGUUCUGGGCUGGUAUGAUGGCUCUGCUCCACAAAAGCCUUUGAGAUGUGGCUCUCUCCACUCCCUGAACCAAGAAGCCCUGGAGAUGGCCCUUGACCUCGUGAUUCUGAAUAGGGGCUGGAAUGCCAGUUAUCACUUAUGCAUUCCAGGUUUUGGAAUGGAGAAAAAUAAUGAAGGGUCAAUGCUAACUCUUUAUGUUAUGUGGAUGGCUGUUUUCCCUACAUGUAUGCCUUAUAUGUGCAUCUGUGUGUGCUUAGGGAUAGUUGUGAGCCACCGUGUGGGUGCUGGGAACUGAACCUGGGUCCUCUGUAAGAACAGCAUGUGCUCUUAACACUGAGCCAUCUCUCUACCCCAGCAGUAGCUCUUUUAAAGAAAGUGCCACGGAACAUUCCCUGUGCAUCCCACUAACUUGAAUUUUGUCACAUAACCAGACCUGGUAGCAAGAGCAAGAACAUGAAAAGGUGCUGGGCAGUGGUGAUGCAUCCCUUUAAUCCCAGCACUCAGGAGGCAGACACAGGUGGAUCUCCAAGUUCAAGGCCAGCCUGGUCAAUAGAGCAAGUUCCAGAACAGCCAGGGCUACACAGAGAAACCCUAUCUCGAAACAAAGCAAAGCAAAACAAAAAAGGAAAGAAGGGGGGGGGGAACCUACCACCACAAAAUGCAACCUUCAUUAUAGGCAGCCAGAGUGUGUGUGUGUGUGUGUGUGUGUGUGUGUGUGUGUGUGUGUGAUUUCCAGAGACAAUGAGCAAUCAUGUGUACCAGGCACUGCCUUGGGCACUUCACAUGUAUUACCCCAACCCUAGCAGAGGUUGCCACCAGUACCCUGACACACCGAGGAGCCUUGGAGAGAAGCCACUUACCAAGGACAUAGGGUGAGCCAUGUGAGAGCUGCAAGAGGCCUUCUUCCCUGCACUUCAUGCCUGCCAGGAAACCAAGAGAGGCUGCACUGGGGUACCGCUAUAAGGAAUCUUUGAACAACUGUUAAAUGCUGGGAGCCAAGCAAGAUGCAGGCCCAAGUGUCCCUGUGGCUUUUACAUCAAGGACUCUGCUGGUGACCUUGGCAAGGGCAUCCGGAAGGGAUGGGGGUGGGUGGGAGAGGCCAGUUACUGAGAAGGGCAAACUGGUCUUUCUGGAAGGGUGGCAACGAGGAGGGAGUAGGCUGCUCUGCAGGGCAGCAUGAGCCAGAGAAGGAGGCAAGAGAGGAAGACGUGCAGAGCACAGGCUAAGAGAGAGGAGGCCGUCUUGUCCUGAGGUACUUUCUUUUCUUUCCAUGCAGGGGGAAAGGAACAGUAGGCACAGACUGUGGGGACUGGAAAAGAGGAGGAUGGAAGGUUCUUGGCUGGGAAAGCUGGCAGAAGGCCAGGGUCUGAGAGAACGACUGGUGCAUGCUGUCCACUCCGCUGGCCGCUACAUGUAAAAUAGCUACAUACAGCUAUUCUAGCAAAUUGAAAGUAAAUCAUCACUGGG
Molecule: long non-coding RNA, 2387 nt
Filed under: Mus pahari (shrew mouse)
Lineage: Eukaryota; Metazoa; Chordata; Mammalia; Rodentia; Muridae
Description: lncRNA (MGP_PahariEiJ_G0004629.1)
Source: RNAcentral